Molecule: long non-coding RNA, 4837 nt
Organism: Haplochromis burtoni (Burton's mouthbrooder)
Lineage: Eukaryota; Metazoa; Chordata; Actinopteri; Cichliformes; Cichlidae
Exons: 3
Source: RefSeq, a predicted model, not a curated record
CUUCUUGCUGUGCAGCAACUGUGCUAGCCACCGUGCCACCGUGCUGCCCUUCAGAAACAUUCCUGACAAAUUUUGCAGACUUGUCGGUUUACGUCCAUGAUAUAAAUCUUGUUUUCUACCACAUCCCAAAGGUGGACUGAGACCGGAUCACUGCGAAGGCCAGUUGCAUUCAGCGAAGUCAUUGUCAUGCUUGAGAAACCAGUUUAAGGUAAUUUGAGGUUUGUGACAUGGUACCUUAUGUCAGGAUAACACUGUGGUGUAAAGGACACUGUAAGCGAUGCUCAUUUAAACUGUGGCAUUUAAACGAUGCUCACGGGGUCAAUUUGAUGGCAACUUAUCAACGAUGAGGUAGCCAUCAUGGGGUAGCCAAGCUGAUUUUACUCUAAAAGGAAACAUAAUUUACAAAAUGACUAUCAUGCUAUUUUUUAUUAUGAGAUCAUGAAAACAAAAAUGUGUUACAAACAUGAAAAGCCAACAUUUUUUGUCAUUUUUGUCACUGAUUUCUACACAAAUAUACUUGUUUUUGCAUGCAGAGGAAAAUUGGUCAACAAAGACUUCAGCAUUAGAUAUACUCAGUUUGUAGGGCCAACCCUUCAGGCCGUGUCACAAGCAUGGCUAAAAAUAAAUAUCCAUGCAUCCAUCCUCUUCCAUUUAUCCAAUUGGAGGGUCUGUAGCCUAUCACAGGUACCAUAGGUCGAGAGGCAGGGUACACCCUGGACAGGUCACCAGUCUGUCGUAGAGCCAACACAUAGAAGCAGACAACCAUUCUCACUCACAUUCAUAUCUGCGGGCAAUUUAGAUUAACUAAUUAACCUAACCUCACUAACUGCAUGUGCUGCAACAGUGCUAACCAUUGCACCAGCGUGCUGCCAUACUGUCUUUAGCAAUACCUAAACACGGUUUUCAGUCAAGUAAAAAGCAACUACAGAUAACUGUCAUUACUGGAUGGUAUUGUUUCCUUCGAUUCCCAAAUAUCUCCAUCGACAAGUGGACACAUUACUGUGUUAUUAUCUUAUUUAAAGGAGCUUGAAGAGAAAUAAGAGACCGAGCGUUUAUGCCACUCUGCAUAAAGAGGCUCUUAUAUGUACAGAGGAGGAUUAUGGGAAUUCGACCAACACAGAGACACACUUCCGUUGUCCAGCAACAAUGGCGCUGUGUGAAAGUCAAAUGCUGAUUGAUUAACAAGCCGAGUCAGCAAACCAAGGAUGCCGAGCAAAGACAGUGACCGCACUGGUUAUUGUGGUGAUGUUUAAUUUGUAAUAGAGUGCGUCCAGUUAGCUUUAUGACAAAGAAAUUCUUUGUAUAUUAUGACCUCGUCUCCUCCAAGGUAGGGGCUAAACUUAAAGGUCCAAAACCAGUACAUGCAGGUAUGUAAAUCAGCUUAAUGUGAAGAUGUGUUAUUACAAUUUAAUUACAAUAAUUAAUUAUUUUCUUCAGUAAAAUGUGUAUAUUAUCAUGACAUGGUAUGUGUACAGCAUGCAGAGAGGGAAACUAAAGAUGCUGAGAAUUUGAAUAACACCUUUAAAGUGCAACAGGAAAUGCAGUGAGCAGAGAUUUUGUUGCCCCAGUUCCUGUUGAUUCUGUCACACAGUGAACAAAUUAGCCUCUCAUAGCAUCUUAACUGCUCUUUAAUCAAGUAAAGUCUUUGCCUCUCUGUCUUUGUUUGCUGAGCAUGGUUCCACGCCCUCCCUCGCCGCCUCACUGGCUGCAGCUCAGUAAAUGGCUGGUAGGAGGGGAAGAUUUUUUUCAGAGGGGUACUGAAGGCACGGCCAGGGUGGGAGGGCAAAGCUGGACAGUGACAGAGGGAGAGAGAGGGGUCUAUGUAUUCAGGCUUUUGGCCCUCAGCCCGUCUCAAGUGCGUCCUGAGGGGAACAUCCUGCCCCUCGUUGGAACUUCCUCGGCCUGCUGAAGUGGCCCAUUCAUGGAGGUCUUGUGAGGGGGGCUUGUUUUUGCUGCUAAAUGGAUGUUUCUGUUUCAGAGGUGUUUGUGCUACUGGACGCUUUCCACUCCACGCCAUCCCCCAGACACACACACUUACGCACACACCCUCUACCCCCACUUUUCUCCUCCUCCUCCUGUUGACUUCCCAUUUCCCCUUCUUCUCCUUCUCCUUUUCCCUUCGGUUUCUCCUCCCUGCUCUCAGCUAACUACAGUCUCAGCUGCAGUUCAUCAAACUUACACUCCCACUUUAGGCUCCUGUUAGACCUUUAAUCCACCUCUCAGCACAGGAGGAGCUGGAGUCGAGGAGGGGUAACUGCAAAGCAGAUAUAAAGGGAUGGAUACUUGUUUCACUUCUCUAAAGCAGAAGUGGUUUCCUAUUUCAAAGGAGGCAGAAAGUUACCCGACAUCAGGGCAAUCUACCAUGGUGACAAACCCUUGAAACUUUUCAAGAAUUUGAGGGAAGUGCGCCUCGGGAUUGUUGGUUCACUGCCAUGGAAACUGCUGACAUUGUGAAUGUGUCACUUGGUUGAUUCUUUGUGCCGUGGCUCCUGACUUCAAAGGAACAGCAGCGUCAUCAGGCACGGGGAUGCCCCAACCUUGAUUUCGAGCAUCAUCACUGGUGUUACGAGUUGGUUGUACAGCUAUGACACAGCUACCAAACUGAAAUCUUCACAUUAAAAGAGCCCAUAGUCUCUGAGGAAAAAGAAGGCGCACUAGUUAGGAAGGCGACAAACACAUGAAUUUGUACUCGAGGGUCAGUUUAUCAAACCAGAGUUCUACUGUUGCAACAAACGCGCUCGUAAAAAUGCACUGAGUGGCAGCGCAUUAAAAACACGGAUUUUUCCAAAACAAAAACACACAAUCAUGCUCUCCGUCAGCUGAGAUUUAGCUUUUCAUCUUCCUCAGAAGAAGAAGCUGGAACCAUCUUUCUCUAAAACUUUGCAUUAAAAAAGGACCCUGCAGACUAUUAGACAAUUCUGCACACAGCUGUUUUUCUGGCAACACAUAAAACCAGUUUCAUUAUGAUGGAUUCCAGAUGUUAGAAAAUGUUGAAAAGUUUAUGUUGUCAAAAAUUUCAAUAGAAUCGUCCUUUCAACAACUAGAGCAGUCAUGAGGCAGGUCUUUGCAGUGCAUGUCAAUGCUCAUUUAAAUACCCAGGGUUGUCAAUGAGCCCUCACAAAUUUGCAAAGCUGAAGUUGAAGCUACCACCUUGAAGGAUUAAUUAAAGCCUUGGCGUAGGCCCAGAGUAGCUUCUAGCCCCCAUCUUGAGACUGGAUCUGUUUAAUCCAGAACAGGCUAAAUCUAGAGCUAUUUUAAGACAAGUCUUUGCAACUAGGUUUGAACCUUGCCUGUGAAACCUUCCCAAAAAGAGAUUAAUCACUGCACAGAAAAUAUUCAAUACGACAGUCAGAUUAGUUCACUUGCCUCAAGAUUUGAAGGAGACCACUGGGAGUCUCUAAAAGACACAUGAAUGAAAAUAGCAUAAUAAGUCAUGCAGUUACAAUGUUACAGUGGCUAGCUACAGCAUGAUUAAUGCCUUUCACGUAAAUUAGCUCUGAUAACUAAUAUUUAACAAACGUGAAAUGAGUACAGCAGCAGAACUUUUGUAUUUUUGUCCCUAAAUAAUGAAACCCAGGGAGACCAGGAGGAAAGUUUUCUGGAAGAUUCUCAGACCUCCUGACAGGCCAAACUGAGAGGCCUCGCCCGUGCUGAAAAGCUUGGCCAUUUUUAUCGCUGUCUGGCUUCAUGUGCUGCCAAAAAGUUCUUUAAUUGUUUCCCAUUCAGUCAAAGCCACAAAGCUUCACAAAGCGUUCCAGUAUAUACAAACUGUGGGUCUUUUUUUUUCCUUUUUUUUUUGCAGGCAACUGAAAAUAAUUGCACGUUUCAGGCUGGCUUUGAAAACGCAGCCUUAUGUGUUUCGCACAGUUUGACUGUGAGUCAACAUUGGGAGGAAAAUCAAAGAUGUCUGCGGAGCAGAGGGACUGUUUGUCUCAUCAUGAGGUCUCAGUGUCUGUUACAUACGCUGUGUGCCUGUGACAUGAGCAUAAUGUACAUGUUUCUGCAAAAGUUUUUGAAUUGUGUGUGUGCGUUUAUCUGUGUGCAUCCAAGUCUGAAACACUACAUGCGUGUGGGAGACUGUAAGAAUGACAGUUUGUUUUGUGAGUGUGCGACUGAGUUCCUGAAACUGGACCUUGGUAUGUUGUCACUGUAAGUGUGCCAAAUCAGCGAUUAACUGCGCUCCCUCUGAGACAAGCGUGUAGCUGAGUGACAUUUUGAAACAGGUGUGUGUAAAACAAUCCGGUUUUCAGCACUCCUUGGAGAACUGCUGUCCCACUGAAAAGCAGGAAUAGACUUGAUGAUAGUUUAGGGACCAACAUAGGUUUGUCUUCGCUUAGCUAGAUGCCCUUCUAAAAGCUGGCUUCUAGAGUGGCGGGCGCAGAAGCAACAAUUGGUUAAAGAGGAGAGAAGCUAUCAGAGCUCCGCCCACAGUGCUUGAGGGACAGGUGAUAAUGAGGUAAGGACACACAGCCUGAACUUGGCUCAUUGUAAACCGGGGUGAAUGGAUGGCUGGAAGGGUUUUUUUGUUUUUGGAGUGCACAAACAUUUGUGUUGGCAUGUGUGUUGAUCUGCCAGUGCAAAAUUACCGAUCAUGAUUCUGAAAUUGCAUUGACCGCAUUGUUUGAACUGUGGAGAACUGUUUUGUAUUUUAUGUCAUACAUUAUGUUUAUAUGACGAAGUAUAAAGAGAGGCUCUCAGUCUUACCACAGACAAAGUGUGUCAUCAUUAGGACAAAAGAACAUGUUGUACGUCUCCAAAACUCUUGGUGGAUAUGUACUAACCAGUGCUUUGUUUAAAAUGGAUUAACUAUUCAAGUCAAUUCAGUUUUAUUUAUAGA